This 554-nucleotide long non-coding RNA is filed under the name Androctonus crassicauda. Lineage: Eukaryota; Metazoa; Arthropoda; Arachnida; Scorpiones; Buthidae. The record is from RNAcentral.
CUGCAUUUUCUCAAUAAUGGUCCUGGCAGAGAUAGGAUUCUUGUGGGUUUUAAUAUACAUAAAAACUCAAGGGCAAGCAGAGUUCACAAUUCUCGUCCCAGAGACGUAAUCUGGGAGGUUAUUGCAUUUAAGGAGUUUAUUAACUUUCAUAGCCAGGGCGUCCGUUGGGUUCUUACUCAAAAUUUGUGCGUUGGGAUCUUGUAUGAAACGCAUGAUGUGGGCAUCAUACAAAGUCUUAAGGAUGACUAAUUUUUUGGAUUUAUCUUCUCUUGUCACAACUAGCUCCUGAUCUAUGAGCCAGUUAAUCGUAUGUUGGACUUUUGGGUCUCUCGACCUAAGGCUAUCUAUAGGAGGAUUAAGGCCGCAGGUCCUUCUCUUAUUGUGUUCCUCUACAAAAGACCAUCUUCGUUUCUCCGCUUCAAACUCAUCAAGUGGUUCAAUUAAUCUUUCCAGAAUAGGAAUACCAUCUAAGACACUGGAUGCUUCAAAAAGUGCACAGUUAGGGCCCUUACGUAACAGCUCAGCUGCAUAUUGCAGUACAUGGUAAAUGUAUU